This 336-nucleotide unclassified non-coding RNA is filed under the name soil metagenome. RNAcentral describes it as "partial contains 5.8S ribosomal RNA, internal transcribed spacer 2, and large subunit ribosomal RNA". The stretch from base 1 to 120 matches the Rfam family "5.8S ribosomal RNA", at positions 35 to 154 of the family's 154-position model. The record is from RNAcentral.
GAUGAAGAACGUAGCGAAAUGAGAUAAGUAAUGUGAAUUGCAGAAUUCAGUGAAUCAUCGAAUCUUUGAACGCACAUUGCGCCCGCCUGUAUUCUGGCGGGCAUGCCUGUUCGAGCGUCAUUUCAACCAUCAAGCCCCCGGCUUGUGUUGGGGACCUGCGGCUGCCGCAGGCCCUGAAAAGCAGUGGCGGGCUCGCUGUCACACCGAGCGUAGUAGCAUACAUCUCGCUCUGGGCGUGCUGCGGGUUCCGGCCGUUAAACCACCUUCAUAACCCAAGGUUGACCUCGGAUCAGGCAGGAAGACCCGCUGAACUUAAGCAUAUCAAUAAGCGGAGGA